AGGAAGUCUUUUCUUUCAAUUCUGUCACUUUCUAUAUUUUUGAAUUUCCCACCCUAAUGUAUGUACUGUUUUAUAAUUAUUUAAAAUAGGAUUCUUUGCCAGGAGUGGUCCCUUAAACCUGCGAUCCUGGCAUUUUGGGAGGCCACUGAGGAGGAUUGCUGGAGACCAGGAAUUCAAGGCCAUCUGGGCAACAUGAGGCUUGCCCUGUUGCCCAGGCUGGAGUACAAUGGCGUGAUCUUGGCUCACUGCAACCUCCAUCUCCUGGCUUCAAGUGAUUCUCCUGCCUCAGCCUCCCAGGUCUCAGUAAGUUCUUCCAACAUUGGAGUCUGGGAGAGGUGUUUGUUGAUAGAAGUUUGGAGAGACAGAGGAGAAUGA
This 375-nucleotide long non-coding RNA is filed under the name Callithrix jacchus (white-tufted-ear marmoset). RNAcentral describes it as "lncRNA (ENSCJAG00000078680.1)". The record is from RNAcentral. Lineage: Eukaryota; Metazoa; Chordata; Mammalia; Primates; Cebidae.